GAAAUGCCCACGACCGCUGCAGCCUCCGCCACGAAAAAGAGUGCCCAGCUGGGUCUCCCCUCCCCCUCGACCCCAGCGGCAGAUGACCGCGGCCGGCAGCCCCGUUGGACGGAAGAGGCCGUCCUGCUCAUUACUGGUGAAUAUUCGCAAAACCCCACCUCUGGGACUGUGAAGAAAGAACCACACUGGCGUCUGCCCUCAGGUUGCCAACGCCUCAGACCUGAUCACGACAGUUUUGGACAACCACCCUAACCGGAGCAGACAGCUUUGAAAUGAAGCAGCCUUAAUCCCG
This is a long non-coding RNA of Felis catus (domestic cat), 292 nucleotides long. RefSeq lists it as uncharacterized. NCBI's taxonomy places the organism in Eukaryota, Metazoa, Chordata, Mammalia, Carnivora, Felidae. The record is from RefSeq and is a predicted model, not a curated record. The transcript is spliced from 2 exons.